GGCGGAAUGGCCGAGCGGUCCAAGGCGUCAGGGUAAGGUCCUGAUCUACGUAAGUAGGCGCGGGUUCAAAUCCCGUUUCCGUCA
This 84-nucleotide transfer RNA is filed under the name Candida tropicalis. RNAcentral describes it as "tRNA-Leu (AAG) (tRNA-Leu-AAG-1 1 to 4)". It matches the Rfam family "tRNA". Rfam says of the family: Transfer RNA (tRNA) molecules are approximately 80 nucleotides in length. The record is from RNAcentral. RNAcentral also lists the same sequence under 2 other names. Lineage: Eukaryota; Fungi; Ascomycota; Pichiomycetes; Serinales; Debaryomycetaceae.